CGUUCUCAGUCUCUCGAUUCUCUUCCACCAUGUCCGAAAUUCGAAGAUUUCUGAGAUCUCAAAUCCCAAAUCAUACCAAACUAUUUAUUUUUCGCCUUAGGGUUUUGAGGUUUGCAUAUAAAAGUUGUUUUAGGGUUCAGUCUCUUCUCUAGUCUCCAAAAAUUCUCAAGAGCAGCAGCACAAAGAAGAAGAAAUGACCUAAAUUUCUCAUUUCCUUGGUUUUUGAUUUGAGAGAUCGUGAACAGGAACAAUACUUUCCUCGUCAAAGAGUUUGGAAAUGGAAAUCAGAUGGUUCAGUUCAGUAAAGAACCUAACAAUCUCUACAACGUUAACUCCUUCAAACACUCUGGUUAGCAAAUGCAAAGACUGUUUCAGUCAAGCUGUAAAAGAUUGAAGGUGUUGUUCUUGCUACUACUAAUCCUAACAAACAAAAGAACCCUUCAAGUUUGGUGGGCAAAACUGUCAUGAAGAAGAAAAUCAGUAGAACGGCUAAGGCCGCAGAGAUUGAGAGGCGUGCCGAGAAUCAUAAUUGGAAACUACUACUGCUUGGGGAUGGAGAGUCACGGAAGUCUACAACCUUUAAGCAGGUAGAAAACCAAAAGUUUUCUUAUAAUUGAAAAUCAAACAACAUAUUUUGCAUUCAGUCUUGUGAUAUAGGAAGGUAUGAAGUGGACUACAGGGGAAUGGGGGUGUAAUUGCAUUUCCGCAGCGCCAAGAUUCCAUGUAUAGGAUGGUGGAGGGAAAGGUUGUUCCCAUCUUGGUAAUUGAAGGAUGGAACUUAACUAAUACUUUCCAUUUACAAGAGAUUGCUGAGCUCCGGGGAAUCCCUUCUUACUGGAUGGAUAGCGAGUAGAGAAUAGGACCAGGAAAUACAAUUAGCUUUAAGUUGUUUGUAACUUGUUUUCUCAUCAGUCUUGGUUACUUCUCUCUGCUUUAAAGGGCGUCCUUUACACUUUUUGAUUUCAUUCUGGAUUUUACAAUGUACCUGUUGUUGUACUUCUCAGAUUUCUUCGAGAGCAUCGAUCUGUGACAGCCUUCCUCCUUUUAUUAUCUCUCCCGGUACUGGCAGGUGCAAUUACGAUGUUAUUAACCGAUAGAAACUUUAAUACAACCUUUUCUGAUCUUGCUGGAGGUCAAAAACGAUCUGGCGUGGGAACUGGAAUAUAUUGUCUGUCUCGAGAAGACAAUCAGAGAUGGAUUUGUGUAUUACUAGAUAAACCCGAAUAGGAAGAUAGUAGUAUUGAUAUUAAUACAUAAUGUGAAAAAUUUAAAGCUUUCUACUUUGCUGUCAAGUUGUUUAAUCCUGAGUUCACUCAUUUCAGCCUGUUGAGCCCACUGUUGAAGACGAAUAGGAUGACGAGGACAACGAUGAUGUUGAAGGGAAGUUGCUUAUAUGCUUGCAGAUGACUGCAGUAGACGUGUGAUGAUUGAGAUAGGUGGUGACAGUGAUAUACCUUAUCCUACCUGUAUCUUCAGUGGUCUUUUCCUCUCUUACUCUGGAAUUUUUUAUUUUAUGUUGCAGGAGUUUUGAACUGUCUUUCCAAGUUCUAUCCCUGGGAUUCAAAGAGGGUACUAAUUGCAGUGAGGUUGAUAUCAUCAAGGCUUGAAUAUUGACUAUUUUAUUUUUGCUUUCGAGAGUUGGGUAUUCUAAGGCUUCUUAUCUCACGUGCAAUGGGAUUCGAGACUAUACCUGGAUUUACCUUGCUGCUGUUGCAUCCGAUGCUGCUUGUAAUAAUCUAAAUGUGGCGUUGUGGAAGGCUCGGUAAUGGGUGGCAUGAAGAGCCAACGACAAGAUUGACUAGAGAUCCUUGGGAUUGGAAAUGUUAUUUGUACCUAGUUCUGCAAUAAUGCCUUGGGCAAUGCAUCAUAAUUAUUUUGUGUAUCAAUUGUUUUUUUAGUUGUCUACUGUUACCAUGUUGGUUUCUUCAAGGUUGUGUAUUUUUGGUUAACUCAAUACACAAACCAAGUUCAUUCCCCAAGUUGUGUACCCUUUCCCUCUUCAGUUUUUGUGCUAAGUGUCAUAUUCUCUUGCAUUGCUGCACUUGCAAAACAUAGAAAUAUCUUAUCGACAAGUAGUCCUUUUCAUUUCUAGUUUUAUUUUUUGUCCAACAGUUUUUGUAAAGUAUUAGCUAAAUUUGGUUCUAGA
This is a long non-coding RNA of Papaver somniferum (opium poppy), 2146 nucleotides long. RefSeq lists it as uncharacterized. The record is from RefSeq and is a predicted model, not a curated record. NCBI's taxonomy places the organism in Eukaryota, Viridiplantae, Streptophyta, Magnoliopsida, Ranunculales, Papaveraceae. The transcript is spliced from 10 exons.